UGAUAAUAUUGGCCGAUUUACCAAAAUUCUCCCCCAUAUAAGGUUAGUGGAUCGACCAUGCACUAUAUUUACGACUUUAUGUUCUUCCAAAAAUCAGGGUCUUAUAAUGAUUAUCGAUCGAUGGGAGCUUUAUGGUUUUUCAGGUCUCCGAAGGUUUUCAAAUUUCAAAUUAUUUGUAGUUAUUAUGAUUUCACUGUUAGCACCCGUGUGGGAACUAUCGAAUUCAAAAAACAAGUUCUUAUUUUGUUAUAGAAAUUUUAAUUAAGGGAAAGGAGAAACUUUUUUGUAUUCUUAGUGAGGUUUAUGCUCAUUAUACUAGAUUAUAUUGACAUUCAUCAAUUGAUUACGAUGAAGCCUAUCAUAUAUAAAUGUGCUUAUAUAGGAAAUUUUUGGGUACCAACAUCCCCUUACUUGUGAAUUUCGGAUUAUGUGGAAAUUUAAGUAUAACAGUGACAUAUAGAUGUGCUUAUGUAUGAAAUUUGGGAAACAACAACCUGUUACUCACAUAUUUCGAAUUAUGUGGCUAUUUAAGUGUUAUAUUGAUGCUUUAUUUAAUGAUUUAACCAUAUCUACCAUGCUUUUGUAUGUAUGUGUAUUUUUGUCAUUAUUUCAG
This 613-nucleotide long non-coding RNA is filed under the name Erythranthe guttata (spotted monkey flower). Its description in RNAcentral is "long non-coding RNA (EGUT_LNC003605)". Lineage: Eukaryota; Viridiplantae; Streptophyta; Magnoliopsida; Lamiales; Phrymaceae. The record is from RNAcentral.